UAUAUUAAAGCGGUGAUCAAAAACGUGACCUCGUUUUAAAAGGGACUGAGGGGAGUUGAAACCUCCUCUCCUGUUUACCGCAGCACCGCACUGCCUAACCUCUCCCAUCUGCCCAGCCUGGAGGGCACAAGAGGCAACAAAGAGAUAAACAAACAGUGCUGUGGUGACUUCCAGCUCCUUAGGGGGCCAUGCAGACCCUGUAAACUAUGCACCUGCCAUCCCUGUCAGAAAGCAUGGAUCCUGAACUGCUUUCCAAUGUUGUGAUGACUGUUAUGAACAGAACGUGGCUGAUCCUGCACUAUUUCAUGAAUUGUAAAUCUGAUGAUGACACUGUGGUGUCUGGCCUGCUGUGUGCCAUGGUCAGAAACAAUUCAAGAUUGCUGUUGGCACUCAUGGAGCAGCUGCACAUGGUGGACUGUUGGUUCUGGGCGCGACAAACAAGCACUGAGUGGUGGGAUCGUAUCAUUAUGCACGCAAGAGUUAGAGUGCUGGGACUGGCUAGACUUCCCCAGAGUUUAAAAGAGGUCCUGGCUCACCACACCACCGGAUGUUACUGUCACCUGUCUCCUAUCCUCAUCCAACUCCACUUCCUUGUCCACUAUGUCAUCCUCGGGGUUCACUCCAAUAGCAACUGUCUCAAGCCCCCCUGAAGUAUCAACAGGGCUCUUGGCAGUGGAGGUGAGGUCAGCGCUGAAGAUGGCAUGCAGAUCCUGGUACAAGCGGCAUGUUUUUGGCAAUGUCCCAGCACAACCAUCGGCCUCCCUUUCCUUCCGGUAUGCAUGCCUCAGCUCCUUGAUCUUUGCAUGGCACUGCUAUGUGUCCCUAUCAUACCCCUUCUCCUCCAAGCCACAAGCAAUCUGACCAUAGGUAUCAAAGUUCGCACAGCUAGAGCAAAGCUGUGACAGCACAGCCUCCUCUCCCCAGAGACCCAGCAGAUCCACCACCUCUGGUGUACUCCAAGCAGGAACGUGUUUGCUGCUGGGCAACGGCAUGGUCAGCUGGGCAGAUGCUAUCUGAGCUGUCCAUGCUGAGCAAACAGGAAGAGCAAUUUCAAAAAUUCCCAGGGCUUUAAAGGGAGAGGGGCCUGUAUACUUGGCUGAAGGGCAGAGUUCAAACUGGUGACCAAAGCAGUCCCAAUGGGCAUGGUGGGACACCUCCUGGAGGCUGCUUUGGGCGAUAAAAGCAACACAGUGUCUACACUGACACUGCAUUGCCCUAAGCACUAUGCCUCAUGUCGAGGUGAUUUUAUUAGGUUGCUGUAGCAGGAGAGUUAAAUUGGCAGGAGGAACAUUGCAGUGUGUACACCUCCAUAGUUGGUUCAACAUAAGCUGCCUUAUGUCACCUUAACUUUGUAAGGUAGACAAGCCCUAAUACUCAGCACUUAGUAUACUAUGUAUUAUAUGUAACUAAAAGAGAAAAUAACAGUACAGUAGCUCCACUUAAAGUCAUCCUGGUUAACGUUUCGUUAUUACACUGCUGAUCAAUUAGGGAACAUGCUCAUUUAAAGUUGUGCAAUACUCCCUGUGGUCUCAGCUUGCUGAUUAACAAGGCAGCUUACUUAAUAGUGGGUCAGUGUACUUAAAGGGGAAAUGCGCAUCGCUGUCUCUCACACACACACACAAACACAGUGUAUGUCUCUGUCUGCCAUGCUGUCUCCUUUACCUCCAUUCCUGCUGCCGUGUACAGUGCAAGGCUACAUUAACAAAGAGUUAAUCCGUAAGGGUUCAGCCAAUUGCUAGUUCAUCAUUUAGCAGUAAGGCA
Long non-coding RNA from Dermochelys coriacea (leatherback sea turtle), 1761 nucleotides. RefSeq lists it as uncharacterized. The record is from RefSeq and is a predicted model, not a curated record. Lineage: Eukaryota; Metazoa; Chordata; Testudines; Dermochelyidae. The transcript is spliced from 3 exons.